UACGGAGGAUGCGAGCGUUAUCCGGAUUUAUUGGGUUUAAAGGGUGCGUAGGCGGGCAUUUAAGCCGGCGGUCAAAUGUCGGGGCUCAACCCCGGCCCGCCGUUGAAACUGGCUGGCUUGAGUUGGGGAAAGGCAGGCGGAAUGCGCGGUGUAGCGGUGAAAUGCAUAGAUAUCACGCAGAACUCCGAUUGCGAAGGCAGCAUACCGGCGCGCAACUGACGCUCAUGCACGAAAGCGUGGGUAUCGAACAGG
Molecule: ribosomal RNA, 252 nt
Filed under: uncultured Bacteroidales bacterium
Lineage: Bacteria; Pseudomonadati; Bacteroidota; Bacteroidia; Bacteroidales
Description: partial 16S ribosomal RNA
Rfam family: Bacterial small subunit ribosomal RNA
Source: RNAcentral